RNAcentral lists this ribosomal RNA (459 nucleotides) under uncultured bacterium. Its description in RNAcentral is "partial 16S ribosomal RNA". It matches the Rfam family "Bacterial small subunit ribosomal RNA", at positions 338 to 795 of the family's 1533-position model. The record is from RNAcentral.
CCUACGGGAGGCAGCAGUGAGGAAUUUUUGUCAAUGGGCGCGAGCCUGAACCAGCCAAGUCGCGUGAGGGAAGACGGUCCUAUGGAUUGUAAACCUCUUUUGUCGGGGAGCAAAAGACGCCACGCGUGGCGUUUCUAGAGUACCUGAAGAAAAAGCAUCGGCGAACUCUGUGCCAGCAGCCGCGGUAAUACGGAGGAUGCGAACGUUAUCCGGAUCUAUUGGGUGUAAAGGGAGCGCAGGCGGAGGAACAAGUCCGGGGUAAAAUGGAAAGGCUUAACCUCAUCGAGCCGUUGAAACUGGUAUUCUUGAGUGAGUUAGAGGGAUGCGGAAUGCGAGGUGGAGCGGUGAAAUGCAUAGAUAUAACGCAGAACUCCGAUUGCGAAGGCAGCAAACCGGCGCUCAACUGACGCUUAGGCACGAAAGUGUGGGUAGCGAACAGGAUUAGAUACCCCGGUAGUC